AACGUGGGUGGCGAGCGUUAUCCGGAUUUACUGGGCGUAAAGCGUGUGCAGGUGGCCUGUUAAGUGGUGUAUGAAAUCGCCCGGCUCAACCGGGCGGGGUUAUGCCAGACUGGCAGGCUAGAGGGUGGGAGAGGGAUGUGGAAUUCCGGGUGUAGUGGUGAAAUGCGUAGAGAUCCGGAGGAACCCCAGAGGCGAAGGCGGCAUCCUGGCCCACGACUGACACUCAGACACGACAGCAUGGGGAGCGAACGGG
RNAcentral lists this ribosomal RNA (253 nucleotides) under uncultured bacterium. RNAcentral's name for it is "partial 16S ribosomal RNA". It matches the Rfam family "Bacterial small subunit ribosomal RNA", at positions 524 to 776 of the family's 1533-position model. The record is from RNAcentral.